AGCGUUUUGAAUCCGUGCUGAGAUUUCGUCAGACACCAACCCAUUAGGUUUGAUCAGAUUUCCAAGAUAAGUGAAGUU
Non-coding RNA from Schistosoma mansoni, 78 nucleotides. Lineage: Eukaryota; Metazoa; Platyhelminthes; Trematoda; Strigeidida; Schistosomatidae. The record is from Rfam.